GAUGUGAUGGUGUAGUUGGUAACACACUUGCUCAAGUUAUGUAUGUCUGAGUAACCUGUGCGCAAGAGUUCUCGGUUCGAAUCCGGGUCAGGUCA
Mycena alexandri is the source of this 95-nucleotide non-coding RNA. The record is from the annotation of a GenBank genome assembly. Lineage: Eukaryota; Fungi; Basidiomycota; Agaricomycetes; Agaricales; Mycenaceae.